CAGGUCUUGACAUCCUCUGACACUCCUAGAGAUAGGNNUUUCCCCUUNGGGGGACAGAGUGACAGGUGGUGCAUGGUUGUCGUCAGCUCGUGUCGUGAGAUGUUGGGUUAAGUCCCGCAACGAGCGCAACCCUUGAUCUUAGUUGCCAGCAUUUAGUUGGGCACUCUAAGGUGACUGCCGGUGACAAACCGGAGGAAGGUGGGGANGACGUCAAAUCAUCAUGCCCCUUAUGACNUGGGCUACACACGUGCUACAAUGGGUGGUACAAAGGGCAGCAAAACCGCGAGGUUAAGCCAAUCCCAUAAAACCANUCUCAGUUCGGAUUGCAGGCUGCAACUCGCCUGCAUGAAGCUGGAAUCGCUAGUAAUCGCGGAUCAGCAUGCCGCGGUGAAUACGUUCCC
This 401-nucleotide ribosomal RNA is filed under the name uncultured soil bacterium. Its description in RNAcentral is "bacterial SSU rRNA". It matches the Rfam family "Bacterial small subunit ribosomal RNA", at positions 975 to 1375 of the family's 1533-position model. The record is from RNAcentral.